CCGGGGUUGUCGUGGGCUGCCUUUGCCACAGACUUGCCUGGGCUGUCUCCGUUCAGCCCCGUUCUCCCUCCUGGUGUGGGCGACCUGGGACUGGUGGACGUUUACUGGCUUUGAACAGGAGCUGCUGUGGGUGAAGCUUAAGAUGCUUGAAAAACGUGAAACAGCCAGAGAACAACAUCAAGGUGAUUGAGCCAGAAGGUGCUUCCUGCGGCAGGGAAGAGACAGCCAAGCAUUUCUGGGUGAGGAAGGGUCCCCUCUGAGUUGUCCUCAGCAGACCAGAUUGCUGAUACGUACCGCAGGGUCCGUACGCGUAUCCAAAAUCACGGUGGAGGAUGGUCAAGUGACCAGCGCUGCAGAAGAGGAAGGGACAGAGAAAGAGAGAGGCACCUGAACUGGAAAAUUCUGUGGGCAGCGCUGAAAGCAGGAGCUGCGAAUGCCAGCUGCCAGCGUUUCUCCGUGGUCGCCCUUCCUUCUGCCGUGAUGGUACAGGACAGAC
Long non-coding RNA from Chroicocephalus ridibundus (black-headed gull), 496 nucleotides. RefSeq lists it as uncharacterized. The transcript is spliced from 3 exons. The record is from RefSeq and is a predicted model, not a curated record. NCBI's taxonomy places the organism in Eukaryota, Metazoa, Chordata, Aves, Charadriiformes, Laridae.